RNAcentral lists this ribosomal RNA (482 nucleotides) under uncultured bacterium. Its description in RNAcentral is "partial 16S ribosomal RNA". It matches the Rfam family "Bacterial small subunit ribosomal RNA", at positions 30 to 507 of the family's 1533-position model. The record is from RNAcentral.
AUUGAACGCUGGCGGCAUGCCUUACACAUGCAAGUCGAACGGUAACAGGUCUUCUGCUGCUGACGAGUGGCGAACGGGUGAGUAAUACAUCGGAACGUGCCCGAUCGUGGGUGGUAACGGAGCGAAAGCUUUGCUAAUACCGCAUACGAUCUACGGAUGAAAGCGGGGGACCGCAAGGGCUUUCGCGGACGGGGCGGCCGAUGGGAGAUUAGGGAGUUGGUGGGAUAAAAGCUUACCAAGCCGACGAUCUGUAUCUGGUGUGAGAGGGCGAGCAGGCACACUGGGAGUGAGACACGGCACUGACUCCUACGGGAGGCAGCAGUGCGGAAUUUUGGAAAAUGGGCGGAAGCCUGAUCCAGCCAUGCCGCGUGCAGGAUGAAGGCCUUCGGGUUGUAAAAUGCUUUUGUACGGAACGAAAAGACUCUUUCUAAUAAAGAGGGUCCAUGACGGUACCGAAAGAAUAAGCACCGGCUAACUACGUG